This 26-nucleotide non-coding RNA is filed under the name Mus musculus (house mouse). The record is from RNAcentral. Lineage: Eukaryota; Metazoa; Chordata; Mammalia; Rodentia; Muridae.
UCUUGUUCUGGUGAAUCAUUUUCUGA